This 163-nucleotide ribosomal RNA is filed under the name Soleirolia soleirolii. RNAcentral describes it as "5.8S ribosomal RNA". It matches the Rfam family "5.8S ribosomal RNA". From Rfam's summary of the family: 5.8S ribosomal RNA (5.8S rRNA) is a component of the large subunit of the eukaryotic ribosome. It is transcribed by RNA polymerase I as part of the 45S precursor that also contains 18S and 28S rRNA. The record is from RNAcentral. Lineage: Eukaryota; Viridiplantae; Streptophyta; Magnoliopsida; Rosales; Urticaceae.
UAACGACUCUCGGCAACGGAUAUCUCGGCUCUCGCAUCGAUGAAGAACGYAGCGAAAUGCGAUACUUGGUGUGAAUUGCAGAAUCCCGUGAACCAUCGAGUCUUUGAACGCAAGUUGCGCCCGAAGCCGUUAGGUUGAGGGCACGCCUGCCUGGGCGUCACGC